Molecule: ribosomal RNA, 468 nt
Filed under: uncultured bacterium
Lineage: Bacteria
Description: partial 16S ribosomal RNA
Rfam family: Bacterial small subunit ribosomal RNA
Source: RNAcentral
GACGAACGCUGGCGGCGUGCUUAACACAUGCAAGUCGAACGGAAAGACCCUGCUUUUGUGGGGUGCUCGAGUGGCGAACGGGUGAGUAACACGUGAGUAACCUGCCCUUGACUUUGGGAUAACUUCAGGAAACUGGGGCUGAUACCGGAUAGGAGCUCCUGCUGCAUGGUGGGGGUUGGAAAGUUUCGGCGGUUGGGGAUGGACUCGCGGCUUAUCAGCUUGUUGGUGGGGUAGUGGCUUACCAAGGCUUUGACGGGUAGCCGGCCUGAGAGGGUGACCGGCCACAUUGGGACUGAGAUACGGCCCAGACUCCUACGGGAGGCAGCAGUGGGGAAUAUUGCACAAUGGGCGGAAGCCUGAUGCAGCAACGCCGCGUGCGGGAUGACGGCCUUCGGGUUGUAAACCGCUUUCGCCUGUGACGAAGCGUGAGUGACGGUAAUGGGUAAAGAAGCACCGGCUAACUACGUG